UACCCGCUGGGUUAAGCAUAUCACUGAGCGCAGGAGAAGAAACUAACCAGGAUUUCCCUAGUAACGGCGAGCGAACCGGAAAGAGCCCAGCUUGAAAAUCGUGGCGCCCCGGCGCCUCGAAUUGUAGUCUGGAGAAGGUCCCUCUGCGGCGCGCCGGACCCAAGUUCCCUGGAAAGGGACGCCAUCGAGGGUGAGAGCCCCGCUGAUUCCGGAGUGCGCCGCUCCACGAGGACCUGUCUGCGAGUCGGGCUGUUUGGGAAUGCAGCCCUAAGCGGGUGGUAAAUUCCAUCCAAGGCUAAAUAUUGGCAAGAGACCGAUAGCGAACAAGUACCGCGAGGGAAAGAUGAAAAGGACUUUGAAAAGAGAGUUAAAAAGUGCUUGAAAUUGCUGGGAGGGAAGCGAAUGGAAGCUGCGGGUGCGCCCCGGUUGGAUGUGGAACGGCUGUCAAAGGCUGGUCCGCCGCUCAACGCGGGGCGCUGGUCAGCGUGGGCCAUCGCGGCGGGACAAGAGCGGGGAUUCGCUUCCCGCCGAUGCCGCUGCGGUGGCCGAGGAACGAAGCGCGCGCUCUUCAUGGGUGUGGGACUUGUCCCAACUGCGCGCUCGGGACGCUGGCGUAUUGAGCUCUUCAUCCGACCCGUCUUGAAACACGGACCAAGGAGUCUAACAUGUAUGCGAGCCGGUGGGCGGCAAACCCAUUGAGGCGCAAGUAACCUGACAGGUGGGACCCCGACCGCAAGGGAGGGAGCACCAUCGACCGACCGUGAUCUUCUGUGAAGGGUUCGAGUUGUGAGCA
This 793-nucleotide ribosomal RNA is filed under the name Lewinskya vladikavkana. Its description in RNAcentral is "partial 26S ribosomal RNA". It matches the Rfam family "Eukaryotic large subunit ribosomal RNA", at positions 22 to 802 of the family's 3401-position model. The record is from RNAcentral. Lineage: Eukaryota; Viridiplantae; Streptophyta; Bryopsida; Orthotrichales; Orthotrichaceae.